UAAGGAAUAUUGGACAAUGGAGGCAACUCUGAUCCAGCCAUGCCGCGUGAAGGAAUAAGGCCCUAUGGGUUGUAAACUUCUUUUAGACGGGACAAAACCCCUUUACGUGUAAAGGGUUGAUGGUACUGUCAGAAUAAGCAUCGGCUAACUUCGUGCCAGCAGCCGCGGUAAUACGAAGGAUGCAAGCGUUAUCCGGAAUUAUUGGGUUUAAAGGGUGCGUAGGCGGACUAAUAAGUCAGUGGUGAAAGCCUGCAGCUUAACUGCAGAAUUGCCAUUGAUACUGUUAGUCUUGAGUACAGUUGAGNUAGGCGGAAUGUGUCGUGUAGCGGUGAAAUGCUUAGAUAUGACACAGAACACCGAUUGCGAAGGCAGCUUGCUAAGCUGUAACUGACGCUGAGGCACGAAAGCGUGGGGAGCAAACA
RNAcentral lists this ribosomal RNA (422 nucleotides) under uncultured bacterium. Its description in RNAcentral is "bacterial SSU rRNA". It matches the Rfam family "Bacterial small subunit ribosomal RNA", at positions 355 to 774 of the family's 1533-position model. The record is from RNAcentral.